Molecule: ribosomal RNA, 482 nt
Filed under: uncultured bacterium
Lineage: Bacteria
Description: partial 16S ribosomal RNA
Rfam family: Bacterial small subunit ribosomal RNA
Source: RNAcentral
AUUGAACGCUGGCGGCAUGCCUUACACAUGCAAGUCGAACGGUAACGGGCCUUCGGGUGCCGCCGAGUGGCGAACGGGGGAGUAAUACAUCGGAACGUGCCCGAUCGUGGGGGAUAACGAGGCGAAAGCUUUGCUAAUACCGCAUACGAUCUACGGAUGAAAGCAGGGGACCGCAAGGCCUUGCGCGGACGGAGCGGCCGAUGGCAGAUUAGGUAGUUGGUGGGAUAAAAGCUUACCAAGCCGACGAUCUGUAGCUGGUCUGAGAGGAUGAGCAGCCACACUGGGACUGGGACACGGCCCCGGCUCCUGCGGGAGGCAGCAGUGGGGAAUUUUGGACAAUGGGCGCAAGCCUGAUCCAGCCAUGCCGCGUGCGGGAUGAAGGCCUUCGGGUUGUAAACUGCUUUUGUGCGGAACAAAAAGCCUUCUUUUAAUACAGGAGGGUCAUGACGGUACCGUAAGAAUAAGCACCGGCUAACUACGUG